GGUAAAACCAGCACCUCAAGUGGUCAGGAUGAUUAUUGGGCCUAAAGCAUCCGUAGCCGGCUCUGUAAGUUUUCGGUUAAAUCUGUACGCUCAACGUACAGGCUGCCGGGAAUACUGCAGAGCUAGGGAGUGGGAGAGGUAGACGGUACUCGGUAGGAAGGGGUAAAAUCCUUUGAUCUAUUGAUGACCACCUGUGGCGAAGGCGGUCUACCAGAACACGUCCGACGGUGAGGGAUGAAAGCUGGGGGAGCAAACCGGAUUAGAUACCCGGGUAGUCCCAGCUGUAAACUAUGCAAACUCAGUGAUGCAUUGGCUUGUGGCCAAUGCAGUGCUGCAGGGAAGCCGUUAAGUUUGCCGCCUGGGAAGUACGUACGCAGGUAAAACCAGCACCUCAAGUGGUCAGGAUGAUUAUUGGGCCUAAAGCAUCCGUAGCCGGCUCUGUAAGUUUUCGGUUAAAUCUGUACGCUCAACGUACAGGCUGCCGGGAAUACUGCAGAGCUAGGGAGUGGGAGAGGUAGACGGUACUCGGUAGGAAGGGGUAAAAUCCUUUGAUCUAUUGAUGACCACCUGUGGCGAAGGCGGUCUACCAGAACACGUCCGACGGUGAGGGAUGAAAGCUGGGGGAGCAAACCGGAUUAGAUACCCGGGUAGUCCCAGCUGUAAACUAUGCAAACUCAGUGAUGCAUUGGCUUGUGGCCAAUGCAGUGCUGCAGGGAAGCCGUUAAGUUUGCCGCCUGGGAAGUACGUACGCA
This 752-nucleotide ribosomal RNA is filed under the name uncultured crenarchaeote. Its description in RNAcentral is "bacterial SSU rRNA". The stretch from base 1 to 600 matches the Rfam family "Archaeal small subunit ribosomal RNA", at positions 469 to 1478 of the family's 1478-position model. Lineage: Archaea; Thermoproteati; Thermoproteota. The record is from RNAcentral.